AUCUUUGUACCUAAUGCUUUAACGCGUAGACUUUUCUCCAGAAAAAAACGUGGCGGUGCCAUUGCAGCACAAAUCUUGAAAUUGUCCAUUCCUCAAACCCCAAAAAAAGUGACAAAGGAACAAGAGUUGUUUGAGCUGAAUCAAGAAUGGAUCUGCCAGCAGAAGAGCUUCAAUUCUUGACUAUACCUGAUAUUUUUCAAGAAUCAAUCUCCAUACCUAAGAGAUCUCCAAAAACAUUCUACCUAAUUACCCUUACUUUAGUAUUUCCUUUAUCUUUUGCAAUCUUGGCUCAUUCUUUGUUCACUCAUCCAAUCAUUACUCAGCUUCAACAAAACCCAAAUUCAUCUCAUGCUUCUCAAUGGACAAAGCUCAUUGUUUUUCAGUUUUUUUACCUGCUUUUCUUGUUUGCUUUCUCUUUGCUUUCAACUGCUGCUGUUGUUUUCACUGUAGCAUCAAUUUACACUGCAAAGCCUGUCUCUUUUUCAUCUACCUUAGCUGCAAUUCCCAGUGUUUUCAAGAGGCUUUUCAUUACCUUCAUAUGGGUUUCUCUUUCUAUGUUGGCUUAUAACACUGUUUUCUUGAUUUUUCUUGUGCUUCUCAUUGUAGCAGCAGAUACCCAGAAUGUGGUUUUGUUCCUUUUCUCCUUUUUGGUUGUCUUUAUACUCUUUCUUGUAGUUCAUGUUUACUUCAGUGCAUUGUGGCAUUUGGCCAGCGUGGUGUCUGUUCUUGAGCCUAUUUAUGGUAUAGGAGCUAUGAAGAAGAGCUAUCACUUGUUGAAAGGGAAGACAGGAAUGGCAUUUUUCUUUGUUUUUGGAUAUUUGUCUAUUUGUGGGGUAAUUAAUGGGUUUUUUGGGUCUGUUGUGGUGCAUGGAGGUGAAAGUUAUGGUGUGAUUUCAAGGAUUUUGAUUGGUGGGUUCUUGGUUGGAGUAUUGGUGAUUGUGAAUCUUGUGGGGCUUUUGAUGCAAAGUGUGUUUUUACUAUGUUUGCAAGAGCUACCAUCAUCAAGGGAUAGAUAAGACUGCUCUCUAUGAUCAUCUUGGUGGAUACCUUGGGGAGUAUGUGCCUCUGAAAAGCAGCGUGCAGAUGGAGAACUUAGAAGGCGGUCCCUUGACGCCAUGAUGGUGAGAAAGGCUGAAUCCUUGUGCUUUCAUUCGAAUUUGUUGCAUGAUAUAUUGGCAAGAGGAAUCGUAAAGACAUUAACUUUGAAGUAGGUUGUUGUGUUUUGGCACUUGAAUUUGUUUGUAUACAUAAUAAGUAACUUUGCUCUUUGUGCUUUCUUGAUAAAUUCCAUUAAUAUGCACCAAUAGUGUUUAUAACAAAGCUCUGUGUUCUUUGUACAUGUUAAAAUAUAUCUAUUGAUAAUUGUUAUGCUAUGUGAUUGUUCGCCACCAGAGGUGGACAAAUAUCAUAUACUGCGUAUGACUGCUCCGCUGUUGUUUAUAGAAAGAAAGUUAUACCAUUGUUCAUUGUAUCAAUUGAGAUAAAUUCGUCCAACUUUGUCUCU
Solanum verrucosum is the source of this 1504-nucleotide RNA transcript. RefSeq lists it as uncharacterized. Lineage: Eukaryota; Viridiplantae; Streptophyta; Magnoliopsida; Solanales; Solanaceae. The record is from RefSeq and is a predicted model, not a curated record. The transcript has a single exon.